AACGAACGCUGGCGGCAUGCCUAACACAUGCAAGUCGAACGAGACCUUCGGGCAUAGUGGCGCACGGGUGCGUAACGCGUGGGAACCUGCCCUUAGGUUCGGAAUAACUCCCCGAAAGGGGUGCUAAUACCGGAUAAUGUCUUCGGACCAAAGAUUUAUCGCCUUUGGAUGGGCCCGCGUUGGAUUAGCUAGUUGGUAGGGUAAAAGCCUACCAAGGCGACGAUCCAUAGCUGGUCUGAGAGGAUGACCAGCCACACUGGGACUGAGACACGGCCCAGACUCCUACGGGAGGCAGCAGUGGGGAAUAUUGGACAAUGGGCGAAAGCCUGAUCCAGCAAUGCCGCGUGAGUGAUGAAGGCCUUAGGGUUGUAAAGCUCUUUUACCCGGGAUGAUAAUGACAGUACCGGGAGAAUAAGCUCCGGCUAACUCCGUG
RNAcentral lists this ribosomal RNA (433 nucleotides) under uncultured bacterium. RNAcentral's name for it is "partial 16S ribosomal RNA". It matches the Rfam family "Bacterial small subunit ribosomal RNA", at positions 29 to 507 of the family's 1533-position model. The record is from RNAcentral.